GAUGAAGAACGCAGCGAAAUGCGAUACGUAAUGUGAAUUGCAGAAUUCAGUGAAUCAUCGAGUCUUUGAACGCACAUUGCGCCCCCUGGUAUUCCGGGGGGCACGCCUGUCCGAGCGUCAUUGCUGCCCUCAAGCACGGCUUGUGUGUUGGGCCUCCGUCCUCCUCCCGGGGGACGGGCCCGAAAGGCAGCGGCGGCACCGCGUCCGGUCCUCGAGCGUAUGGGGCUUCGUCACCCGCUCUUGUAGGCCCGGCCGGCGCUUGCCGACACAUCAAUCUUUUUUCCAGGUUGACCUCGGAUCAGGUAGGGAUACCCGCUGAACUUAAGCAUAUCAAUAAGCGGAGGA
This 345-nucleotide unclassified non-coding RNA is filed under the name soil metagenome. RNAcentral describes it as "partial contains 5.8S ribosomal RNA, internal transcribed spacer 2, and large subunit ribosomal RNA". The stretch from base 1 to 120 matches the Rfam family "5.8S ribosomal RNA", at positions 35 to 154 of the family's 154-position model. The record is from RNAcentral.